This is a long non-coding RNA of Pezoporus occidentalis (night parrot), 373 nucleotides long. RefSeq lists it as uncharacterized. NCBI's taxonomy places the organism in Eukaryota, Metazoa, Chordata, Aves, Psittaciformes, Psittacidae. The transcript is spliced from 3 exons. The record is from RefSeq and is a predicted model, not a curated record.
UGUUCAUUUCCCCAACACAGCUCCUUGUCUGUCCAGGCAUAGAUUGCAGAAUCAUUCAAGAGUGUUCAGUGUAAAUGACUGUGGGUACAAGGAGUGCUGGAGCUGCAGGCUGGGAGCGUUGCAGUGAAGUGCACAAGGCACCAGCUCAGGGAUGCUCCCCUAGAAGCAAUGGGAAGGGUGAAAAUAUUCUCCCUCCUGAACAUCCCUCCGUAUCCACCAUCCCCCUGUAUCCGUCCCCUGCGUGAUGGAGCCCAUUGCCACAGAGCUGCAGGAUCUGAUGAGACCACAAAGAAGAGAAGCCUGGUUGGUUGGCCUGCACCAAGCCCCAGUCAGACAAUCCCCUACCAGGUUCAGGCAACCAGACAGAGAAAUA